UAUUAGGUUGGGGCAAAAGUAAUUGCGGUUUUUGCCAUUGAAAGCAAUGGCAAAAACUGCAAUUACUUUUAUACCAACCUAAUA
Molecule: microRNA precursor, 84 nt
Filed under: Pan troglodytes (chimpanzee)
Lineage: Eukaryota; Metazoa; Chordata; Mammalia; Primates; Hominidae
Description: mir-548 microRNA precursor family
Rfam family: mir-548 microRNA precursor family
Source: Rfam by way of RNAcentral